CCUACGGGAGGCAGCAGUCGAGAAUCAUUCACAAUGGGGGAAACCCUGAUGGUGCGACGCCGCGUGGGGGAAUGAAGGUCUUCGGAUUGUAAACCCCUGUCAUGUGGGAGCAAAUUAAAAAGAUAGUACCAUAAGAGGAAGAGACGGCUAACUCUGUGCCAGCUGCCGCGGUAAUACAGAGGUCUCAAGCGUUGUUCGGAAUCACUGGGCGUAAAGGGUGCGUAGGCUGUUUCGUAAGUCGUGUGUGAAAGGCGCGGGCUCAACCUGCGGACGGCGCAUGAUACUGGGAGACUAGAGUAAUGGGAGGGGAAGCGGAAUUCGCGGUGUAGCAGUGAAAUGCGUAGAUAUCGAGAGGAACACUCGUGGCGAAGGCGGGUUCCUGGACAUUAACUGACGCUGAGGCACGAAGGCCAGGGGAGCGAAAGGGAUUAGAUACCCGAGUAGUC
RNAcentral lists this ribosomal RNA (446 nucleotides) under uncultured bacterium. RNAcentral's name for it is "partial 16S ribosomal RNA". It matches the Rfam family "Bacterial small subunit ribosomal RNA", at positions 338 to 795 of the family's 1533-position model. The record is from RNAcentral.